This 394-nucleotide ribosomal RNA is filed under the name uncultured bacterium. Its description in RNAcentral is "bacterial SSU rRNA". It matches the Rfam family "Bacterial small subunit ribosomal RNA", at positions 29 to 409 of the family's 1533-position model. The record is from RNAcentral.
GCGAACGCUGGCGGCGUACUUAACACAUGCAAGUCGAACGAGGAUCAUCGGUGUAGCAAUACAUCGGCGGUCCUAGUGGCGUACGGGUGAGUAACACGUGGGCAACCUGCCCUCGAGCUCGGGAUAACCUUUCGAAAGGAAGGCUAAUACCGGAUACGUUCCUCGGGUCGCGAGACCUGGGGAGGAAAGGUGGCGCAAGCUACCGCUCUUGGAGGGGCUCGCGGCCUAUCAGCAGUUGGUGAGGUAACGGCUCACCAAGGCUAUGACGGGUAGCUGGUCUGAGAGGACGACCAGCCACACGGGAACUGAGACACGGUCCCGACUCCUACGGAGGCAGCAGUGGGGAAUUUUCCGCAAUGGCGCAAGCCUGACGGAGUGACGCCGCGUGGGGGAC